GUUUGAUCCUGGCUCAGGACGAACGCUGGCGGCGCUAUCACAUGCAAGUCGAGCGGACAGAUGGGGAGCUUGCUCCCUGAUGUUAGCGGCGGACGGGUGAGUAACACGUGGGUAACCUGCCUGUAAGACUGGGAUAACUCCGGGAAACCGGGGCUAAUACCGGAUGGUUGUUUGAACCGCAUGGUUCAAACAUAAAAAGGUGGCUUCGGCUACCACUUACAGAUGGACCCGCGGCGCAUUAGCCAGUUGGUGAGGUAACGGCUCACCAAGGACGAUGCGUAGCCGACCUGAGAGGGUGGUCGGCCACACAGGUUNUGGAGACNNCCCAUACGGGAGGCAGCAGGGAAUCUUCCGCAAUGGACGAAAGUCUGAGAACAACGCCGCGGAGUGAUGAAGGUUUUCGGAUCGUAAAGCUCUGUGUUAGGGAAGAACAAGUACCGUUCGAANAGGGCGGUACCUGACGGUACCNAACAGAAAGCCACGCUAACUACGUGCCAGCAGCCGCGGUACGUAAGGUGGCAAGCGUUGUCCGGAAUUAUUGGGCGUAAAGGCUCGCAGGCGUUUCUUAGAUCUGAUGUGAAAGCCCCGGCUCAACCGGGGAGGUCAUUGAAACUGGGGAACUUGAGUGCNNAGAGGAGAGUGGAAUUCCACGUGUNNGCGGUGAAAUGCGUAGAGAUGUGGAGGAACACCAGUGGCGAAGACUCUGGUCUGUAACUGACGCUGAGGAGCGAAAGCGUGGGAGAACAGGAUUGAUACCCUGGUAUCCACGCCGUAAACGAUGAGUGCUAAGUUGGGGGUUUCCGCCCUUAGUGCUGCAGNUAACGCAUUACACGUUCCGCCUGGGGAGUACGGUCGCAAGACUGAAACUCAAAGGAAUUGACGGGGCCCGCACAAGCGGUGGAGCAUGGUUUAAACAACGCGAAGAACCUUACCAGGUCUUGACAUCCUCUGACAAUCCUAGAGAUAGGACGUCCCUUCGGGGCAGAGGACAGGUGGUGCAUGGUUGUCGUCAGCUCGUGUCGUGAGAUGUUGGUUAAGUCCCGCAACGAGCGCAACCCUUGAUCUUAGUUGCCAGCAUUCAGUUGGGCACUCUAAGGUGACUGCCGGUGACAAACCGGAGGAAGGUGGGGAUGACGUCAAUCAUGCCCUUAUGACCUGNGGCCCACGUGCUACAAUGGACAGAACAAAGGGCAGCGAAACCGCGAGGUUGCCAAUCCCACAAUUUUNNAGUUCGGAUCGCACUGCAACUCGACUGCGUGAAGCUGGAAUCGCAGUAAUCCGCGGAUCAGCAUGCCGCGGUGAAUACGUUCCCGGGCCCUGUACACCGCCCGUCACACCACGAGAGUUUGUANCCGAAGUCGGUGAGGUAACCUUUAGAGCCAGCCGNCGAAGGUGGGGAUGAUUGGUGANUCGAAACAAGGUAGCCGUAUCGGAAGGUGCGGCUG
RNAcentral lists this ribosomal RNA (1445 nucleotides) under metagenome. RNAcentral's name for it is "bacterial SSU rRNA". It matches the Rfam family "Bacterial small subunit ribosomal RNA". The record is from RNAcentral.